CCUACGGGAGGCUGCAGUGGGGAAUAUUGGGCAAUGGGCGCAAGCCUGACCCAGCAACGCCGCGUGAAGGAAGAAGGCUUUCGGGUUGUAAACUUCUUUUAUGAGGGACGAAACAAAUGACGGUACCUCAUGAAUAAGCCACGGCUAACUACGUGCCAGCAGCCGCGGUAAUACGUAGGUGGCAAGCGUUAUCCGGAUUUACUGGGUGUAAAGGGCGUGUAGGCGGGACUGCAAGUCAGAUGUGAAAUUCCAGGGCUCAACCCUGGACCUGCAUUUGAAACUGUGGUUCUUGAGUGAUGGAGAGGCAGGCGGAAUUCCCUGUGUAGCGGUGAAAUGCGUAGAUAUAGGGAGGAACACCAGGGCGAAGGCGGCCUGCUGGACAUUAACUGAUGCUGAGGCGCGAAAGCGUGGGGAGCAAACAGGAUUAGAUACCCUAGUAGUC
RNAcentral lists this ribosomal RNA (442 nucleotides) under uncultured bacterium. RNAcentral describes it as "partial 16S ribosomal RNA". It matches the Rfam family "Bacterial small subunit ribosomal RNA", at positions 338 to 795 of the family's 1533-position model. The record is from RNAcentral.